This 646-nucleotide ribosomal RNA is filed under the name Cortinarius californicus. Its description in RNAcentral is "eukaryotic LSU rRNA". It matches the Rfam family "Eukaryotic large subunit ribosomal RNA", at positions 1 to 626 of the family's 3401-position model. The record is from RNAcentral. Lineage: Eukaryota; Fungi; Basidiomycota; Agaricomycetes; Agaricales; Cortinariaceae.
UGACCUCAAAUCAGGUAGGACUACCCGCUGAACUUAAGCAUAUCAAUAAGCGGAGGAAAAGAAACUAACAAGGAUUCCCCUAGUAACUGCGAGUGAAGCGGGAAAAGCUCAAAUUUAAAAUCUGGCGGUCUUUUGGCUGUCCGAGUUGUAAUCUAGAGAAGUGUUAUCCGCGCUGGACCGUGUACAAGUCUCCUGGAAUGGAGCAUCAUAGAGGGUGAGAAUCCCGUCUUUGACAUGGACUGCCAGGGCUUUUGUGAUGCGCUCUCAAAGAGUCGAGUUGUUUGGGAAUGCAGCUCAAAAUGGGUGGUAAAUUCCAUCUAAAGCUAAAUAUUGGCGAGAGACCGAUAGCGAACAAGUACCGUGAGGGAAAGAUGAAAAGAACUUUGGAAAGAGAGUUAAACAGUACGUGAAAUUGCUGAAAGGGAAACGCUUGAAGUCAGUCGCGUCGUCCAGGGAUCAACCUUGCUUUUGCUUGGUGCACUUUCUGGUUUGACGGGUCAGCAUCAAUUUUGAUCAUUGGAAAAAGGUCAAGGGAAUGUGGCAUCUUUGGAUGUGUUUAUAGCCCUUGGUCACAUACAAUGGUUGGGAUUGAGGAACUCAGCACGCCGCAAGGCCGGGUGUUAAACCACGUACGUGCUUAGGAUGC